Molecule: non-coding RNA, 31 nt
Filed under: Mus musculus (house mouse)
Lineage: Eukaryota; Metazoa; Chordata; Mammalia; Rodentia; Muridae
Source: RNAcentral
CAAAACAGGUGACUUGAGUGUGGGAUGACCC